Non-coding RNA from Stegodyphus mimosarum, 73 nucleotides. The record is from Rfam. Lineage: Eukaryota; Metazoa; Arthropoda; Arachnida; Araneae; Eresidae.
GCCUUCGUGGUGUAGUGGUCAGCACGCUCGACGCGUAACCGAGAGGUCCGUGGUUCGAUUCCUGGCGAAGGCG